Molecule: long non-coding RNA, 1140 nt
Organism: Monomorium pharaonis (pharaoh ant)
Lineage: Eukaryota; Metazoa; Arthropoda; Insecta; Hymenoptera; Formicidae
Exons: 2
Source: RefSeq, a predicted model, not a curated record
AGACUAAUUAAAUGAAAGAUAGUAAUUAGAGGAAGAUAGUAUAUUUCAUUGAUUAAUUUUGAUAUUUUUCAUUGUACAAGUUUUAGUUUAUCUAGAGAUACAAAAGCAAAUGUGAAAUAUUCUUUGAAGUAUUGACACUGAUAUAUUUAAACAAAUUAUUUUUGUAUACUUUUUAUAAUAUAAUAAUAUAACACGUUAGAAGAAAAUUGAAUUCCGCUAAAAAAUAACAUUUGAUGUAUCUCAUAUUAUGUAUAAAGGGUGUGUAUUUUUUGUCUUUUCGGUAGCUUAUUUAUUCUGAAAUUUAAAGUUUGUCAUACAAGAGUGUCAUCUUAAGAUAUAACUUUGAAGAAGAUAUUACUUCAAGGAAAUAAAGAGUAAAAGAGAAACAGAAUUUGGAAUUUGAGAUACAAGCAGGAAGCACAUUAGAAACAUCGUUUCCUGGUUGGAAUAGGUUCAGAAGGGACAAAUGGGCGGAGAAAAGGACUGUACGGUGUAGAGAAAGGCAGAGCAAGGUGUUGCAGCAAACAGAGUGGCGAUGCACAAUAGAUGCGUAGUUAGUAAAUUACAGACUGCCAGGGACAAUGGCGUGCGUACCGAGCAAGCGUGCGCGUGUAUGAGAGUUUUCCACGCUGUCUACUGGGUGACGCGGAUAGAAACGCAGUGAUUCGAACAGGAUCCAAACGCUUGUUCUCGGGGCACCCUGUAGAAUGGCAAGCAGCAGUGCGUAUCCACCGUUCAUUCGUGUAUACAUAGUCCGCGUGGGAGAUUCAACGUGUACAUCAAUCUGACCUGCGGGCACCUGUGUAUAUUAUGUGCCUGCGUUAGGUAGGAGAAAAAUGUUCGUCCGCCAUUUGACGAGGAAAGCUGCUACGCGUAGUUUAAGAGAGCAUCUGGAAGCGCAAUAAAGAUUGAACCAAUGUCGGGAAAGCGCCACUGUAAGAGAACGAUUUAACGUGACACGUUUUAUUAUGAUAUAUUUACUUCAUAAAAGUCGUUUCUGCAAUCUUUUUUUAAGUAUAAUAUUUAAUAAUUUAUUAUUUUAUAUGCCACUUUUUUUUAUUGAUUCGGCAGACAGUAGAGUUGAUUAAUCAUAGCAGCGGAAAUUUCAUAAAGCGAAAAAGGUAGGGUAUGAAAGGGAGU